GAUGGCUCCCUGACCUUAGGGAGAUGAAGGGCCUGAAACCCACCUUUUGUGCCAGAAGUGAGGAAAUACACUUCCUUAUCAACAUCUGUCCUCAGGGCCAAAGAACAAGACAGACACUGAAAAGAGAGAGAGCAGGGAGUUCCAACAAGGAGUCCAAAAGAAGACUAUGUGUUUCCCAUCUGAUGCUGGGCACUGAUACAUUCCAACUUAAGAUGUCACACAGCAAAGAAAAAAGAUCAUUAAAGCUCUUCAGAGGCACUGUGCAUGCAGGAGGACAAGAUCCCACCUGGCUGGGCAUGGUGCAGCAAGGAUGAUGCAACAUUCUC
RNAcentral lists this long non-coding RNA (326 nucleotides) under Ictidomys tridecemlineatus (thirteen-lined ground squirrel). Its description in RNAcentral is "lncRNA (ENSSTOG00000031039.1)". Lineage: Eukaryota; Metazoa; Chordata; Mammalia; Rodentia; Sciuridae. The record is from RNAcentral.